This is a long non-coding RNA of Sapajus apella (tufted capuchin), 9913 nucleotides long. RefSeq lists it as uncharacterized. The record is from RefSeq and is a predicted model, not a curated record. The transcript has 2 exons. Lineage: Eukaryota; Metazoa; Chordata; Mammalia; Primates; Cebidae.
UAUUUGCAUAGUUUCCAAUGUUCUUUUUGGUAUUGAUUUCUAGUUUUAUUCCAUUAUGUUUUGAUAAGAUACUUCGUAUGAUUUUCAUUUUUAAAAAUUUGUUGAGACUCAUUUUGUGGCCUAACAUUGUCUAUCUUGGAGAAGGUUUUAUGUGCUGACAAGAAGGAUACAUAUUCUUCCGUUGUUGAAUGAAAUGUUCUGCAAAUGUAUGUUAGGUCCAUUUGAUCGAAAGUAGAGUUUAAAUCCAAUGUUUUGUUGAAGAUUUUUCUGUCUGUAUUAUCUGUCUAAUAAUGAGAGUGGUAUGUCAAAAUCCCAAACUGUUGUAUUAACAUCUAUUAAUAUCUCUCCCCUUAGCUCUAAUAUUUACUUUAUGUAUAUGGGUUCUGUGGCAUUGGGUACAUAUAUAUUUUAAAUUGUUAUAUUCUCUUGCUGAAUUGAUCCCUUUAUUAUUAUGUAAUGACUUUGUUUUUAGUGUUUUUGACUUGAGUUCUAUUUUAGCUUAUAUAAAUGUAGUUACUUUUGCUUGUUUUUGGGUUUUGUUCACGUGGCAUGUCUUUUUCCAUACCUUUAGUUUAUAUGUAUGUUUAGAGGUGAAAUACAUUUCUUGUAGGCAGCAAGAUGGUUCAUGGUUUUUAAAAUUCAUCCUGCUAGUCUAUACCUUUUAAGUGGAUAGUUCAAUUCAUUUACAUUCAAGGUUAUUACUGAUAGGUAGGGACUUACUUCAGUCAUUUUGUUAUUUAUCUUCUGGUUGUUUUGCAUAUCUUUUGUUUCUUUCUCUUUUAUUUUUUAUUGUAGUUAAACAAUAGCUACUUAGUCUUUAUGUUUUGCUCACAUUUGAGUUUUUUCUCCAUCUAAUUUUUGUAUCUGUUCUACCAGCAAGUUUUAUACUUUUGUGAUGAUAAAUAUUGUCUUUUCCCCCUUCCAUAUGUAGGAUUCCUUUAAGCAUUUUUUUUUUGUGGGUCUGGCCUAAUGGGGAUGAGCUUUGUUAGUUUUUAUUUGUCUGCUAAAGAUUUUAUUUAUCUUACAUUUUGAAGGAUAGAUUUGCUGGACAUAGUAUUCUUGGCUCACAGGUUUUUGCUGCUGUUUUCUUUUUCUUUUAGCACUUCAAAUAUAUCAUCCAAUUGUCUUCUGACUUGUAGAGCUUCUGCUGAGAAAUCCAGUUAGGCUGAUGAUCAUUUCCUUAUAUGUAGUUUGACACUUUUUAAAAAAAUUACUGUUAUAGAAUUCUCUCUUUUACUCUGAUUUUUGACCGUUUGACUAGAAUGUGCUUUGGAGAAGACCUUUUUGAGUUGUAUUUGUGUUGGAAUAUUUGAGGUUUCUGUUUCUGUAGUCUAAAGAGCUUGCAAAACUUAGGAAUUUUUUAGCUAUUAUUUUAUCACAUAGUUUUUCUAUGCUGUUUUCUAUCUCUUCUACUUCUGGAACACCCAGAAUUUGAAUAUUUGCUCUCUUUAUGGUGUCUGAUAUAUUAUAGAAGCUUUUUUCAUUUUUUAUUUUUAUCUGACUGGAUUAUUUCAAAGACCCUUCCUCAAUUUCUAAAAUUCUGUCUUCUGCUUUAUAUAGUCUGUUAUCGAAGUUCUUGAAUUUUUAUUCCAUUCAUUUAAUUCUUCAGUUCCAGAUUUUCCAUUUGAUCCUCCUUAGUGAUAGCUGUCUCUUUGUUGAAAUUCUCAUUGAGAUGAUGAGUUAUGUUUCUGAUUCCUUUGUUUUGUUCAUCUGUAUUCUCUUACGUUUCACUGAGCCUCUUUAAUGUCAUGACUUUGACUUUUUUACAAAUAUCUUUGAAUUCUUUUUUGUUGGAAUCUAUUACUAGAUAAUUAUUUUCUUCCUUUGGUUGUGUCAUUGUUUUUUUUUUUUUUUGCCUUUUCAUUUUUCUUGUGUCCUUACGUCGAUGUCUAUGCAUCUUGUGUAACUGGCACUUCUUCCUGUUUUUCAGAUUAGGUUUCUUAGGGCGAGACCUUUUCCUGUAGAUGUAUAUGUAGUGUUGGUUGAGUAGGGCACUUCAGCUUUGAUUUUGGGCUUGUGCAGUAGUAUAGUUUCUGUAUGAUUUAUUUGACUGCAGUCGGCAUCAGUGGUACCUGUGAUUUCCUCUGUGGCUUAGGAUGUGGUAGUUAAUGGAGGCAUUGGUUACAUUUUGCUGGGGGAUGGAGAUGCCAGCCACUGUUCAGCUCCCACGUGGCAUAUGCUGAUGCUAGCAGUGGUAAUGAUGUUCUGAGCAUGCCAGUCUCCAGGCCCCAAGGUAGCAUGUAUGGGUGGAUAGAGCAGGAGAAUCCCCAGGUCCUGAAACAGUGUGCUUGGCUGCUGGUGGCAGGUAGGAUUUGUCUUUUGUCAGGGUUUCUGAUGAUUUAUGUGCUUGUUCAGGGUGAUAGGUGGAGUGGGCUAGUCACCAGACCCCCAGGCAGUAUUCAGGGGCAGUGGGGGUUGGGGUGGGCUGGGUCCCAUGUCAGGCCUCAUGGUGCGUAUGUGUGCCUGGGGCAACAGACAUGUUGAGAUGAACCCCAGCCCUUGGGAGGUAUGCUUAGACACCUAGAGGGGUGACUCCAGGUGAAGCAGGCCUUUCCUCAGACUUUCUAAUGGUGCACAUGGGCACAGGCUAUGGUGGGUGGAGCAGGUUCCUGUGUGGUGUGCUCAGUGGCAGCAGCAGUGGGCAAGAUGAGCCUAUUCUCAAGCCCUGGGGUGGUAUCCUAGAGGGCUGGUCCAGGCCCACUGAAGACACCUGCACAUACAUGGCAGCCCUCUGACUGUGGGGUAGGGCGGGUGCAGGGUUGCUGUUGGUGGCAGCAUCCCCAGGCGGCAGGGAGGCAACUCUCAGACUCUGGGGAGUGCAUGUUUCAGCUCCGUUUGUCCCAGGAGCAGCCUCCCCAGCUUGUUUUCAUGGUGUGGGACACUGCAUGGGCUAGAGUGCUGGAACCUGGCCACAUCGUGGUUCCAGCUGGCAUUGCAUUGCUGCAACCCUCUGGGUGGAUACUGAGGGAUGUCAGCAGGUCUCCAGGGAUGUAGAGAUUUAGGGGAUGUUGGGCCCCAUGGCAAAAUGCGGUCUGGUGGGAGCUGGGUGCUCAAAAUGCCAUUCUGCAGCUGCUUGGGUCUUAGGGGAAUGUUGGGACCCAGUGUGAAUUCCCUGUCUUGAGCAGUGCCAUUGCCCAGACUCCAGGCAGCUCACUCUGCUAGUCUCAGGGCCUGUAAGAGAAGAGUGGCUCUCCCACGGCUAGGGCUUUAAGGGUCCCCAGUGGGAGUGUGGACUACUGUCCCUACACUGGGGAGCCUCUCCGGACUCCGAGCUGAUCCUGCCUCGGCAGCAGUGGCUGCCUCACUGCUCUCUCUCUCUGUGCCUCGGAUGUUCUCUGUCCCUUCCCUGCUGAAUCCCGGGGUUCUCUCUUAAAUGCUCUACGAAACACAUGAUUAUCUCCUUGCUGUUUUGGUCCUUCCUCGUGGAAACGUGUGUGUGCCUCUAGUCAGCCACCCUGAAAGCCUCCCAGACAGUUGUAGUUUUACUGCACUAUGAUCAGCAAAUGUUGGGAGUAUCAUUUCUACUUUUUAAAAUGUAUUGAAAUUACCUUGAGCCUUCUCUAUUCAAUUUUCACGAUUUAUAAUGUGCUCCUGAAAAGAUGCAUAUUGGCUUUCUCUCAUGACAGGGACUGGUAGAGGCAGGCCUUCCACUGUUAGUGACAGUAAAACUCAACAGAGCAUGUGAAGCAACUGUUUUCACGCAACCUGAAAAUGGAAAAUAAAGUCUUGAAAGUAUUCAUAGAGAAACUGGUAAUGACAUCGAGGAGGGCACGCAAUACAAAUGAUAGCUGACCUCUUGUCAAAAUCAACAGAGGCCAGAAAAGCAGGAAAACAUCUUUUAACAUAGACAGAAUAGGGCUGUGGUCCUUGGGAGAAGUGAAACACAUGAGGUGAACGUUGUGUUCACUCUGGCCUUUCUUUUUUUUGGCCCAGGGCGGUAAGUAGAGUCCAGGUAGAAACAGAGGCCUUGUUGAGCUGGGAAGGAGGAGAGCAGUGGUUAGGGAUGUGCGCUAGUGGGGAUUCACAGGGCAGGGCCUAAGGGAGGAUUGAGUUUCAUAGAGGAACGGAGCCCAGAAACCUACGGAGUUUUCCACAGGUUUUUGGUGAAGGCUGGGCUGUACCUGCACAGAGCAAGAUCAUGUCAGGCCUUGCAGAGGUAGAGUUGGAAGGCUGAGAGCUGAACUGGCAUGAUGGGCAGUGAUGAAAGACGUUGGAACUCCAGCCGCACCACAGUAGCAGUCCUUGCUGUGCACCUGAGUGUGCGUAAAACUAGCCCGACAUUAAGGGCCGCUAUAGACCUGCUUUAGAAUAUGGGUCACGUCCUAAAGUCAGGGCUAAGUCCUUCGUCUAAGGAUUAAAUCAAUAUAAAUCUGUCCUAACAGAAUAAAACUAAGCAUUUUGGGGUCAAACAAACCACUAGGCAUUUGACUGCCUACCAGAACAAAAGUCACCACUAAGAAGCAGGUGACAUAAUCCAGAUUCCCCACAGCAUAUUAUUCACAGUGGCUAGGAGAAACCAAAACUGAGGUAAUACAGAAAGAAUUUGAAGAAUAUUACUCAUAAUAAAAUAUCAGCUGAAACAAAACCCAAGAUUACCCAGAUGUUGGAAUUAACAGGCCAGAAAUUUGAAACAACUACACAAAUAUAUUCAAAGCCAAAAAGUAAACAUUGUAUGUGAAGAGGUAGAAAAUCUCAUCAGAGUAAUGAAUCUAUAAAGAAGAACCACAUAGAAGUCUCAAACUAAAAAGUUCAAUAUUUAAAACAAAAAAAAUCCCCGGCUGAGCUUUUCGGCAAAUUAAAAACCAUAGAAGAUUAAUAUAAAUUUUUCCAUGUGAAGGGCAGAGGAAAAAAAAGAUUAAAGAAAUGAAAAAGCAUCUCUGGCCUAUGGGACAAUUUCAGGGAUUCUAAUAUAUGUAUACUUGGAAUCCCAGAAACAGAAGAGAGAGAAUGGGGCAGAAAAAAGAAUUUAAAGAAGUAGUGGCCAAGAUAUCCCCAAAUUUGGUAAAGCAUGUUUGUCUACAGAUUUAGAAAUGUCAGAACACCCUUGGAAGAUUAAAAAGCAAAUAAACAAAAUUCAUCUAAGCACAAGAUAGUCAAACUCCUAAAAAUUGGAGAUAAAAAUCUUGAAAAUAUUUACAGAAAAAUUAUAUAUUAUGUAAAGUGUAAUGAACAAUACAAAUGGUGGCUGACCUCUGGUCAGAAAUAGCGGAGGCCAGAAAAGCAGAAAACCAUUUUAAAAGUUGCCAUCUGUAUUUUUAUAUCUCCAGAAAAUAUAUUUUAAAAUGAGGUUGAAAUAAGGACGUUUCACAUAAAUGACAGCUAAGAAAAUUUAUCAGCUGCAGACCUGCUUUACAUGAAAUGCUAAAUUAAGUUUUUCAGGCUAAAGCAAAGGAAUACCAGAUGAAAACGCAAACUCAAAUUUAGAGUAAGAAAUGACGUACACAAGAGAGAAUGCAAAUGUGGUUAAAUAUGAAAGAAUACCUUUUUUUGGUUACUCUGUAAUUACUUAAAAUAAAAUGGAUUAGGUGGGCUUCCAGAAAGGUGGAUUGAGAACCUCCAUAAUCUGUCCCACAAUAAAGCCAGUACUGGGUAAAUUGUGAAAUUUAAUAUUCAGAAUUCUGUCAAUUACCAAGUUAUCACCGGAUUGCAACAAAACAAGGAAAACGGAUGAGUCUUGGUAAGAACAGUGAGGCAGUGCCAGUGUGACUUAAUCUGACCCCAUUGUCUCUUUCAUACCACAUGUAGCCUUGAAAAUUAGCAACUUCGUAAACACUUUCACUGUGAAAACUAGCAGAAUUGAAGCUUCUGGAAUGGGCCACUUGGAUUUGGAUCCCUCCCCACAAAAAUGUCACUCCCAGAACAUUGCCACAAUUUGACCUGUCUCAUACCUCCCUGGAAAAACCCUACUCAUAAGUCAUUGUCACUAUUUGCCCUGAGCUGGAGCUCAUCUGAGGGGAAAAGUCAAUACUACUGGCAUUGAUAGCAAACAAUCAUUGACGAUUUUUAAACAUCAUAGCUUGAAGUUGAGAGACCAUCUGGUGCAAAGAAGAGUUUGUCAAGAAACUUAAAAGGAAGUUGUAGGGAAUGAAAUAUCCACUGGAGACUUUGCAAAACACUUAAUGUAUUCCUGGGGAAUAUAGAAGCCUAUGUUCAUGCAUAGGGCUGUACAUAUGACCAAGAAAGACCUGAAGAGGACCCCGUCUCUCUCUUCUGGCCAAUGUUGAGGCCCUGUGCAGAAUUGUAAAUUGCCUAAAUGUUGGAGGUGUGCUGCAACACAUAUACACAGCUCUUUGGCAAAGGGUGAAAGACUUACUGAUUUAAGGCAUUUAAGGAAAUGUCUGGCCAGUCGUUAGCUGGCCACUGAGCUAAAUGAACAGACCCUUCUGUGGCCAGACGCUACAGGAAUAUAGACUUUACAGUAUUAGCACAAAAGUGUCUUUGAACAGACAAGAAUAAAACAGCAGUAACAAAUAUCCUCAGUGGGAGGGUCGGAUAUCCAGUGUUGACGCAUUAUAUCAUCCAAGGUGUUCAGUUCUCAACAACAAAAUCACAAAGCAUGCCAAAAAGCAAAACUAGGAAAAUAUGGCAUAUACACAGGAAAUAAAGCAAGGCAAAGAAACUGUUUCUGAGAGGACCAGUGUGUGGGAUUUACUAGACAGAUUUUAAAUCAACUAUUAUAAGUAUCUGCAAAGAACUGCAGGAAACCAUGUCUGAAAGGAAAGUGUGAAAAUGGUGUCACACCAAGUAGAGAAUAUCAAUGAGAGGCAGAAAUUAUCAAAAUGAAUCAAACGGAAAUUCUGAAGUUGAACAAUAGAAUAACUGAAGUGAACAGUUUACUAAAGAAGGUCAAUGGUAGAUUUGAACUUGACAGAAAAAAAGAGCUAAUAUGAAAACAGGUCAUCACUUUUGACCUCACAGAAAUAAAAAGGAUUAUAAGGGCAUACUAUGGAAAAAUGUAUGCCAAUAAAUUAGAUAGCUUAGGUGGAAUUUCUAGAAAGACAAACUGUUAAAACUGACUGAAGAAGAAAUAGAAAAAAUGAAUAAACUUAUAACAAAGAGAUUGGAUUAGUAAUCACAAACAUCCCACAGAGAAUGUGACUACAAACAGGGAUAGUUCAUUAAAUGCAAGAAAAUAACCCAGAGGACUGUAUUUGGAGAUCAGAUACUGCAAUGUAUUCCCCAUCCCCUAAUGAUUCUGGCUUUUCCACACACAGUACAACAUUGUUCUAACACCCCCAGAUCUCAUCUUACGGGAUUAGUUUUGGGUUUCCUAACCAAGGUUCUUGCCAUCCAAAUUAAAUCUAGAUAUACAUGAGGCUCCUUGGGUACCUAUCCUCAGGUGCAGCUCCUUAAAUAUUGUUCCUUUCAGUUUUGAUGACCUGUGAACCAAGGACACAGACCAUCGCUCCUUCCCAUUCCCCGACUACAGUGAUGAGACACAGAAAGAAACACCACCACAGACACACAUGGCACCUGACAGUCACUGAUCCAUGGCAGUGUUGGAAACUUGAUGGCAAGUUCUCUUUGUUCUACGGGAGAAAUAUGAUUUACUUCAGGCAAAGUUCUGCUCCUUGGGGAUGCUUCUCUGUGGCUCUUCUUUACGCUCUCUGAACCUUCUUCCUUUUAAUAAUAAUGGCUCAUAGUUGUAGUUGAGUAGAUUUCUCAGCCUGAUUCCUGUCCGUAGAAGUUUAGGGGACCUUGAGACCUCUUUGCAUUCUGAAAAGAAUUGUCCCUGUCAAGCUGGAGGUGCUUCUGAUGAUACAAUUCAAUUAAAAACUUUGUUUGCUGUAAAUUACUGCUGUUUAUUCCAUUAAACAAAAAUCCUACCCGUAAACUUCUUCAAAAUAGUCUCUUCUCCAACUUUGGCUGACAGUUAGGAUACUGUCGAACAAUGAUUUUAAGAUUCUUAGAGAUUCUAUUGACUGGCCGAGAUAGUGGAUGAGGAGUCAGAUGCCUAAAAUUGAGAUGACAGAGGCGUGUAGCUCCUGGCUCAUGAAAGCAUGGGAUUAUAUAACAGAUGGGUUGGAGGACAGAAGUCCCAGAGGAGGACGGGAGCUUCGGCAGUUGCAAGGUCAGGCAUGAAAGGAUUGUCUGUAAUGUGAUGGAGGUAGCAACUAAAGUUUUGCAUUCAGUAGUUAGAGUCAGAGUUCCUGAGGGACCACAGGUGGAUUUACCAUGAAGCCAGUGAAGCUUAAGUGGCAGGGGUCCUUGUUUAUACAGGGGCAAUUUAACAUUCCUAAUUUUGUUUACUUCCUAUAGUCCAUCCCUGUUCCCCAAAUGUAUGUGCUUCAGUUUUCACAAAACCUAGACACAUUCUAGGUUUUAUGGAGUGAAGUAGAAACCACACAAAUAAUUGUGGCAGUAGUAGUGCUGGGGGUGGGGUAAUAGUGAAUUUCGGAAAAUAAGGUGGAGGGAUUUCAUAGUGUGAGGACGAUGGCAUCUUGGGGAGAGCAAGUAGGGGGUUCAGGCUAGUGAUCUGAGAUUCAGUGAACUAUAGCCUGCUGUCAGCUGCUUCCUUUUACAAAUACAGUUUUCUUGGAACAUAGACAUGUCCGCUGAUUUGAGUAUUCAUUAUGGCUGGUUUUAUGCUAUAAUGGCAGUAUUAAAUAGUUGAGAUGAAGAUUGCAUGGCACACAAAGCCGAAAGUACAGUUGCUCCCUUGAGCAACACGGUUCGAGCUGCACGGGUCCACUUAUAUGCGGAUUUAUUUCAGUAAAUAUGUCAGACCAAUUUUAGAAGAUUUAUGACAAUUUGUAAAACCUCACAGAAAAACCACCUAGCCUAGAAAUACUGAAAAAAAACUAAGAAAAAGAUAUGUCAUGAAUGCAUAAAAUCUAUGUGGAUACUAGUCUGUGUUAUCAUUGACUGCCAUAAAAUAGAUACAAAUCUAAAGUUCGUAUCUUUUUUAAAUAUAUAAAAGAAAAUACAUAAAAUGAAAAGUUAAACUUUAUCAAAACUCAUGCAUACACAUGCUUCUAGGCCAUAUAUGGCGUCAUUUUCUCCAUAAAUUCCACACAGGACAUUUACGGGAGAAAUAUAAACAAAUGUAAAAACGCAGUGUUAAAUCAUACCUGCGUAAAAUUAGCUGUGAUACAUACUUUACUGCUAUAAUAAUAAUGUAGCUACCUCCUGUUGCACAUGUGCUGGGCUGAGGCGUUGUAAGACGCAUCUAACAUAUCUCGUGAUGUUGAUCAUCUCCCAUGAGCAGCACUGUCUCUAGCGAGUUGCAUAUCAUGGUAAAAAGGAUCUGUCAGGGUUCUCUUAUAUUUCUCAUUGUGGUUAGUGUAAUACCGUAAUCCUUAAAUAGCACCAUGGGACCCAUAUGAAAUGCCACUAGUGAUGCUAAAAGUGCCCCCAAGAAGCAGCGAAAAGUCAAGACGUUAUAAUAAAAAGUUGAAUUCUUUGACGUGUGUUGUAGAGUGACGUUUGCAGCUGUUGCCUGCCAUUUCAAGAUAAAUGAAUCCAGUGUAAGGGGCAUGUAGGGGGUGGGAGGAAAAGGAAAGGAAAUUCAUGAUGCUGCUGCUGUGGCCACACCGACAGGCGUGAAAACUUUUUGGGAUCUAGUCUGUAAUCUCACAUUGAAGAUGCAGCUUUUACGCUGGUGCAAGAUUACUGGAAGAAAGGCAUAUUUGUAGACUCUAAUGCGAUUAUAGAAAAAGCAGUCAUUACAUGACAACUUAAAGCAAAAGGAAGAUGAAGGAUCUAAAGCUGGAGAAUUUAAUGGCAGCAAAGGACGGUGUGAUAAUUUCAGAAAGAGGUUUGGCUCUGAAAAUGUCAGUGUAACAAACAGGAGAAGGAAAUUCUGCUGACCAAGAGGCAGCAGAGGCGUUCCCAGGCACCAUUCAGAAAAUCAUUGAUGAGAAGGCAUAUCUGCCUGAACAGGUUUUUAAUGCAGAUGAAAAUGCCCUAUUUU